CAGGCUUAACACAUGCAAGUCGAGGGGCAUCAGGAAGAAAGCUUGCUUUCUUUGCUGGCGACCGGCGCACGGGUGAGUAACACGUAUCCAACCUGCCCUUUACUCGGGGAUAGCCUUUCGAAAGAAAGAUUAAUACCCGAUAGCAUAAUGAUUCCGCAUGGUUUCAUUAUUAAAGGAUUCCGGUAAAGGAUGGGGAUGCGUUCCAUUAGGUUGUUGGUGAGGUAACGGCCCACCAAGCCUUCGAUGGAUAGGGGUUCUGAGAGGAAGGUCCCCCACAUUGGAACUGAGACACGGUCCAAACUCCUACGGGAGGCAGCAGUGAGGAAUAUUGGUCAAUGGGCGCUAGCCUGAACCAGCCAAGUAGCGUGAAGGAUGAAGGCUCUAUGGGUCGUAAACUUCUUUUAUAUAAGAAUAAAGUGCAGUAUGUAUACUGUUUUGUAUGUAUUAUAUGAAUAAGGAUCGGCUAACUCCGUGCCAGCAGCCGCGGUAAUACGGAGGAUCCGAGCGUUAUCCGGAUUUAUUGGGUUUAAAGGGAGCGUAGGUGGACUGGUAAGUCAGUUGUGAAAGUUUGCGGCUCAACCGUAAAAUUGCAGUUGAUACUGUCAGUCUUGAGUACAGUAGAGGUGGGCGGAAUUCGUGGUGUAGCGGUGAAAUGCUUAGAUAUCACGAAGAACUCCGAUUGCGAAGGCAGCUCACUGGACUGCAACUGACACUGAUGCUCGAAAGUGUGGGUAUCAAACAGGAUUAGAUACCCUGGUAGUCCACACAGUAAACGAUGAAUACUCGCUGUUUGCGAUAUACAGUAAGCGGCCAAGCGAAAGCAUUAAGUAUUCCACCUGGGGAGUACGCCGGCAACGGUGAAACUCAAAGGAAUUGACGGGGGCCCGCACAAGCGGAGGAACAUGUGGUUUAAUUCGAUGAUACGCGAGGAACCUUACCCGGGCUUAAAUUGCAGUGGAAUGAUGUGGAAACAUGUCAGUGAGCAAUCACCGCUGUGAAGGUGCUGCAUGGUUGUCGUCAGCUCGUGCCGUGAGGUGUCGGCUUAAGUGCCAUAACGAGCGCAACCCUUAUCUUCAGUUACUAACAGGUCAUGCUGAGGACUCUGGAGAGACUGCCGUCGUAAGAUGUGAGGAAGGUGGGGAUGACGUCAAAUCAGCACGGCCCUUACGUCCGGGGCUACACACGUGUUACAAUGGGGGGUACAGAAGGCAGCUAGCGGGUGACCGUAUGCUAAUCCCAAAAGCCUCUCUCAGUUCGGAUCGAAGUCUGCAACCCGACUUCGUGAAGCUGGAUUCGCUAGUAAUCGCGCAUCAGCCACGGCGCGGUGAAUACGUUCCCGGGCCUUGUACACACCGCCCGUCAAGCCAUGGGAGCCGGGGGUACCUGAAGUACGUAACCGCAAGGAUCGUCCUAGGGUAAAACUGGUGACUGGGGCUAA
This 1438-nucleotide ribosomal RNA is filed under the name uncultured organism. Its description in RNAcentral is "16S ribosomal RNA". It matches the Rfam family "Bacterial small subunit ribosomal RNA". The record is from RNAcentral.